AGAAUCAACGCUGGCGGCGUGCCUAACACAUGCAAGUCGAACGCGAAAGUCCCGCAAGGGAUGAGUAGAGUGGCAAACGGGUGAGUAACACGUGGGUGACCUGCCCUCGAGCGGGGGAUAACGUCCCGAAAGGGACGCUAAUACCGCAUGACAUCCUGCCUUUGAACAGGUGGAGAUCAAAGCUGGGGAUCGCAAGACCUAGCACUUGAGGAGGGGCCCGCGCCUGAUUAGCUAGUUGGUGAGGUAACGGCUCACCAAGGCUUCGAUCAGUA
This 272-nucleotide ribosomal RNA is filed under the name uncultured bacterium. Its description in RNAcentral is "partial small subunit ribosomal RNA". It matches the Rfam family "Bacterial small subunit ribosomal RNA", at positions 26 to 285 of the family's 1533-position model. The record is from RNAcentral.